AGAGGGUGAUCUUGGCUCAGGACGAACGCUGGCGGCGCGCCUAACACAUGCAAGUCGAACGAGCGAGAGAGAGCUUGCUUUCUCGAGCGAGUGGCGAACGGGUGAGUAACGCGUGAGGAACCUGCCUCAAAGAGGGGGACAACAGUUGGAAACGACUGCUAAUACCGCAUAAGCCCACGGCUCGGCAUCGAGCAGAGGGAAAAGGAGCAAUCCGCUUUGAGAUGGCCUCGCGUCCGAUUAGCUAGUUGGUGAGGUAACGGCCCACCAAGGCGACGAUCGGUAGCCGGACUGAGAGGUUGAACGGCCACAUUGGGACUGAGACACGGCCCAGACUCCUACGGGAGGCAGCAGUGGGGAAUAUUGCACAAUGGGGGAAACCCUGAUGCAGCGACGCCGCGUGGAGGAAGAAGGUCUUCGGAUUGUAAACUCCUGUUGUCGAGGAAGAUAAUGACGGUACUCAACAAGGAAGUGACGGCUAACUACGUGCCAGCAGCCGCGGUAAAACGUAGGUCACAAGCGUUGUCCGGAAUUACUGGGUGUAAAGGGAGCGCAGGCGGGAGAACAAGUUGGAAGUGAAAUCCAUGGGCUCAACCCAUGAACUGCUUUCAAAACUGUUUUUCUUGAGUAGUGCAGAGGUAGGCGGAAUUCCCGGUGUAGCGGUGGAAUGCGUAGAUAUCGGGAGGAACACCAGUGGCGAAGGCGGCCUACUGGGCACCAACUGACGCUGAGGCUCGAAAGUGUGGGUAGCAAACAGGAUUAGAUACCCUGGUAGUCCACACCGUAAA
Molecule: ribosomal RNA, 785 nt
Filed under: uncultured bacterium
Lineage: Bacteria
Description: bacterial SSU rRNA
Rfam family: Bacterial small subunit ribosomal RNA
Source: RNAcentral